UAGAAACCGGAGCAUAAGGGCCUCGGACAUAAAUGGCUGGAUUUUGGCCAUUUAUGUCCGAGGCCCUUAUGUGCAGGUUUCUGGGCC
Molecule: small RNA, 87 nt
Filed under: Lacticaseibacillus paracasei
Lineage: Bacteria; Bacillati; Bacillota; Bacilli; Lactobacillales; Lactobacillaceae
Description: Lactobacillus paracasei mraW
Source: RNAcentral